This 426-nucleotide ribosomal RNA is filed under the name uncultured bacterium. RNAcentral describes it as "bacterial SSU rRNA". It matches the Rfam family "Bacterial small subunit ribosomal RNA", at positions 354 to 796 of the family's 1533-position model. The record is from RNAcentral.
GUAAGGGAUAUUGCGCAAUGGGCGAAAGCCUGACGCAGCAACGCCGCGUGCGCGAAGAAGGCCUUCGGGUUGUAAAGCGCUUUUCUGGCAGAAGAGGAAGGACAGUAGGCCAGGAAGAAGAGUCGGCUAACUACGUGCCAGCAGCCGCGGUAAAACGUAGGACUCGAGCGUUAUCCGGAGUUACUGGGCGUAAAGCGCGGGCAGGCGGGUGACCAAGUCGGACGUGAAAGCUCCGGGCUUAACCGGGAGAGGCCGUUCGAGACUGGGCACCUGGAGGGCAGUAGAGGGGCGUGGAAUUCCGGGUGGAGUAGUGAAAUGCGUAGAGAUCCGGAGGAACACCAGAGGCGAAGGCGGCGCCCUGGGCUGCACCUGACGCUGAACCGCGAAAGCCAGGGGAGCGAACGGGAUUAGAUACCCUAGUAGUCC